This is a long non-coding RNA of Pogoniulus pusillus (Red-fronted tinkerbird), 186 nucleotides long. RefSeq lists it as uncharacterized. The transcript is spliced from 3 exons. The record is from RefSeq and is a predicted model, not a curated record. NCBI's taxonomy places the organism in Eukaryota, Metazoa, Chordata, Aves, Piciformes, Lybiidae.
CUAGUCCAGUCCCCUGUCCUGAGCAUGGUCAGUCAAAGCAAGUUACCAAGGACAAUGCCCAGAGAGAUGUAUUUCCCUGGAGUUUUGCUGCUGCUGGAAUGUCACUUGGCAUGCCAAGAGCAUUAUGUCCAUUGCACAGGAGCUGACUGCAUUUAUUAACACUUAUCAUUAAUAUUAAGCAUACCA